UUUUUUUUUUUUUUUGCCUUCAUUUCUUUUUUAAAAGAUUUUAUUUCUGAGACAGGCAGAGACAUAGGCAGAAGGAGCAGGCCCCCUGUGGGGAGCCUAAUGCGGGACUUGAUUCCAGGACCCCAGGAUUACAUCCUGAGCCAAAGGCAGACAUUCAACCACUGGGCCACCCAGGUGUACCUGCUUUCAUUUUUUAAAAAGAUUUUAUUUGGCAGAGCACAAGCAGGGGGAAUGGCAGGGAGAGGGAGAAGCAGGCUCCCCGUAGAGCAGGGAGCCCAAUGUGGGGCUCCAUCCCAGGACCCUGGGACCUUGAUCUGUGUUGAAGGCAGACGCAUAACCGACUAAGCCACCCAGGUGCCCCUGACGCCUUCAUUUAUAGGUGAAAAUACUGAGACCCAGAGAGAUGAAGGGACUUGCCCAGGGUCACACAGCAAGAGCAAAAACUCAGAAUCUCCUCAGAUCACUCUCAGUCCUAUUGCUCUAGGAAUUAACUUCUAGCUGAGCUAUUCCUCUAGUGUUCUUUUGUAUGCUUUGUAUUUGUCAUUCAUUUGCUUAGCAGAUGUUUAUUGAGCACCUACUAUGCAUUGAGUACACAGUAGGCCCUCAGGACUAUUAGGUACCAGUCCUGGGAGUUAAUGGAAGCAAAAGCAGUCACUGCCUGCCCUCAUGGGGCUUUCAGUCUAGUGGUGAGGGCAGGAAAACUAUAUCUGUGGGAAGUACCAUGAAGGAGAUCAGUGGUAUGGUAAGAAGGACUUGUAAGUGAAUAUUAGUCCAUUUGGGCUGCUAGAACAAAAAUACCAUGGACUGGGUGACUUAUAAACAGAACUUUAUGUCUCAGAGUUGUAGAGGCUGGGAAAUCUUAAGAUCAAGGCACAGACAGACUUGAUUUAUAAUGAGGAUGCACUUGGGUCACAGAUGACUAUUCUCUCACUGUGGCUUCACAGAGUGGAAGGAGUGAGGGAACUCUCUGAAGUCCCUUUUAUAAGGGCACUAAUCCCAUUCAUGAGGGCUCUACUGUUAUGACCUAUCACUUCCCAAAGGCCCUGCCCCCAAAUACUAUCACAUUGGGAAUUAGGUUUCAACAUAGGAAUUUGAGGAGACACAAACAUUUAGUCUGUAACACGAGGGAUGUAACCUAGGUAGGAAGUGCCCUGGAGCCCAAAGCUAAAGGUGAACUAGGAGAAUAGAGGACAGAAGUGUUGGAGGUAGAAGGAGCAGCAUACACAAAGCCCCAUGGCAGGAGCGAGUGAGCAAGCAAGGUGGCUGGAGCAUAGGAAGUGGGGAACACAGCCAGGCAGGAGUUGGGGCCAUACACCUGGCAGGGCUGCACAGGCUGUUAAAGAGUGCUGGGGCUUCUUCACUCAAGGAUUAGAUUUGUGUUUUGAAAAGAUAUCUCCAGUUGUCAAAGGUAAAUGAAUGCCCUGUCCCCAACCCUGUCUCAGCUGAGUUCCUUUCAUUCCAUCUCCUUCUGUCUGCUUUUCUGACUUCAGUCACAUGCUGUUUGGGGUGCUCUCAAUGGGUCUGGUUUCCACUUUUUGUGGCUCUGAGGUGUAUGUGUGCAUUUGGUGUGUGAGUGUGUUGCUAUCGUAUCACUUAUUGAUUCAAUAAAUACUAAGUUAUUAAGUGCUACUGUGAGCCAGGUACUGUUCAGUCAUCACUAUGGGCAACCAACAUGAUGGGUGAUAGUGUGCCCUUGUGUGUGAUGUUGAUGCAUUGUAUCAUUAUAUGUGAGUGCUUGUAUGUAAAUGUGUUGACCAUGUGCUCUAAAUGAUGGCCACUGUGGGUAAUUGUAAGGCUCCUCUCGGUGUCAUUAUGUGUGCCUGCAUUGUGGGUGUUGUGUCUAACUCGAUGUGACAACAACAGCGGGUGUGGCCAGCAUUAUGGGUAGUAGUGUGUGUUGCCGUGCAAUGUUAAUGUAGGACUGUGAUGUGUCUGUGUGUCUGGGGGGCCCCUUGGGAGACCUUAUCUCUUGCAGUAAAUCUAGCAGAGAACGAGCUUCCUGGGACUGUAAGAGGCACUCUCCAUGCCACCUGGGAUGAUUGGUGCAGGGAGUGGAGCCUCCCCUGCUGGUGCUGGAGCAGAGGGGAGGUGAGGGCGCCUGGGCAGGCCUGGCUGGCCAGAUGGGGCCAGAUUAAUAAAGCAGGACCUGGGAGAGGGCAGGCCAGGGCGGGUGGCUUUGGCAGGAGGCGGCUGAGAUGAAAGUGGCCUGACUGGCAGGCAGGCAGGUGGCCUCUCCCCUGCCCUGUCAGCACUUUUUAAUGUCCCCUCGGUUAGAAUGUGUGGGAAGAGUGGGGUGAGGGAGGCUGGAGCUCACCUUUCCCAGGCCCUAGAGGAGGGGCUGGAGCAGCCAGGAGGUAGGGUGGGAGGAAUGCAGUUCUAGGUGUAAUGGAGAGCAGGAGUCCUAGCCUCCUCUGUCCUGUCAGCACCCCUUAACUCCAGCUCUUCAGAGAGGCAGGACGAGGAAGCAGCUGGAGAAACAGAAACCAGGAAGUGGAAGGGGUGACUGAGCCUGUGCGCCUGCAAACAGGUGACAGGAUAUGACUGGGAACCUGUGUCAGCAGAUGAGCAUGAGGCUGAGAUCAUAAGAGUGUGAGCAGGACUGUGUGUGUGUGGGAAUUUAAAUUUUAAAAUAGGAGGCUUGCCUCCUGGCUUUGGCCUGCUGCUGGUGUGUGGCUUUAGAUGGUUCAUUCAUCUGCCCUUAGCUUUGUUGCUUCAUCUCUGAAGUAAGGAUGGGGCUACCUGUUCCACAGAAAUGAUCGUGGGGCUUAAAUAGACUGAAAUAAAUAGACUGAAAUAAAUGGUCAACUGUAAAUCUGUUUAUAAA
Molecule: long non-coding RNA, 2824 nt
Filed under: Canis lupus familiaris (dog)
Lineage: Eukaryota; Metazoa; Chordata; Mammalia; Carnivora; Canidae
Description: lncRNA (ENSCAFG00000059208.1, ENSCAFG00845018236.1)
Source: RNAcentral